RNAcentral lists this long non-coding RNA (320 nucleotides) under Elaeis guineensis (African oil palm). RNAcentral's name for it is "long non-coding RNA (EGUI_LNC068643)". Lineage: Eukaryota; Viridiplantae; Streptophyta; Magnoliopsida; Arecales; Arecaceae. The record is from RNAcentral.
GUGCGGCAUCUUUCUGAACUCUCCCAACCGUCCGAGCUUCCACAGUACCAUCCGAACUCCUCCAACAGUCGACCUUCCACAGUGUCCCCCAGAUUCCUCCAAUGGACGAACUCCUAUCAUACCCUCCAGACUUCUCCAAUAAUGAGCACCUUCAGUUGUCUAUCAGACUGCUCCAAAUGCUCUUUGGGCUUUACUAUCAGCCAAUUUUCUACAGUGAUUGACUACUCUCCGAAUCUCUUCCAGACUUCCUCCCGUCACAAUCGACUUUACUCCGAGCUUCUUCCGGACUUCGUCAAUGUCUGGGCUUCUCUAGCAACAGG